Molecule: transfer RNA, 72 nt
Filed under: Acroneuria hainana
Lineage: Eukaryota; Metazoa; Arthropoda; Insecta; Plecoptera; Perlidae
Description: tRNA-Val
Rfam family: tRNA
About the family: Transfer RNA (tRNA) molecules are approximately 80 nucleotides in length. Their secondary structure includes four short double-helical elements and three loops (D, anti-codon, and T loops).
Source: RNAcentral
CAAAGUAGAGCUUGGUUAGUAAAGCAUCUCAUUUACACUGAGGGGUAAUCUGUGCGAUUCAGUUUAUUUUGA